GAUGAAGAACGUAGCGAAAUGCGUUACGUAAUGUGAAUUGCAGAAUUCAGUGAAUCAUCGAAUCUUUGAACGCAUAUUGCGCUCUCUGGUAUUCCGGAGAGCAUGCUUGUUUGAGUAUCAGUAAACACCUCAACUUCCAUAUCUUUUUUGAAAUGGGAGUUGGACUUGAGUGAUCCCAACGCUUUUCCUCACCGAAAAGUGGCGGGUUACUUGAAAUGCAGGUGCAGCUGGACUUUUCUCUGAGCUAUAAGCAUAUCUAUUUAGUCUGCCUAAAAAACAGAUUAUUACCUUUGCUGCAGCUAACAUAAAGGAGAUUAGUUCUUGUGCUGACUGAUGCAGGAUUCACAAAGACAGCUUCGGCCGACUUUGUAAACUCGAUCUCAAAUCAAGUAAGACUACCCGCUGAACUUAAGCAUAUCAAUAAGCGGAGGA
RNAcentral lists this unclassified non-coding RNA (432 nucleotides) under soil metagenome. Its description in RNAcentral is "partial contains 5.8S ribosomal RNA, internal transcribed spacer 2, and large subunit ribosomal RNA". The stretch from base 1 to 120 matches the Rfam family "5.8S ribosomal RNA", at positions 35 to 154 of the family's 154-position model. The record is from RNAcentral.